Molecule: long non-coding RNA, 3421 nt
Filed under: Cricetulus griseus (Chinese hamster)
Lineage: Eukaryota; Metazoa; Chordata; Mammalia; Rodentia; Cricetidae
Description: lncRNA (ENSCGRG00015034730.1)
Source: RNAcentral
AGCCAAGAGUCACCACGGCGGAUACACCUGGGGCAACCAGAGGCGGCGACCGUGCAGCCAGAGCCGGAGUCCUCGAAGCCAACGGAACCCGCGCUUCCGCGCCCGCAGCCAAAGUUCGUACGGACGUUACGAACCACGCAAGAGCCGCCCGCGCAUCCGGGACCCCGCCGCCGCCACAUGGGGUUCGGGGACUCCGCGCGGGCAGGAUCGGGGUCGGUCCGAGCGCUCCGCAGGCUCACUCCGCUUAGCAGGAAAUGUUUCCCUGGUGCGUGCUAAGGAAAUGCCAGGGGAGAGCGCGAACGCAGUCCCCCACUACCACAAAUUAUGCAGUCGAGUUUCCCGCAUUUGGGGAAAUCGCAGGGGUCAGCACACCCCAAGUGCAAUGGGUGGGCCUCGCCCUGGGAAAACCACCUACUUGAUCAUGGUAUCUCCCCUGCCAGGUAAGUAUGCUUUCCACACGCGCAGGCCCGACCCAGCCACACCGGCCCUGCGCUCUCAACACACGGUCACUUCGCCGCGCGCGCUCCGGGGCCUCCGCCGACGCGCACCCCGCUCCUGCGCUACGCUCACGCCCGCCCACCCGCGAUCCCCCCAGGCCGCGCGCGAAAUCCCUCGAGUUCUCGCCUCAGUGAGGACGCGGCAGCCCCUGCGCGACCCUCAUCUGCAUAGACCACGCCCCCGAGUCGCACCCAAGGGUGACAUCACACCCCUCCCUUGGUCCGGUCGGUUUGUUGGACUUUCUUGCUCUAGGAGAGCUGGAUGGAGCGUUGCAGGGCCGGACACAAAUCGCCCUGAGUUAUCUCAAAGCCCUAAAGAGCCGUUGGUCACCCACCCCGAUGGCCUGACAGCCUUGUCACCGGCGUUGCUGUGAACCAGGUCGUCAGGCAGCACCGGAGCCAGCCCUGAGCACUCAGAGAGAGGUCUCCCCGCUUCGCUAGAACCUCACUGCCUCACGUCGCCACCACUGGAUUUUACAGGGCUCUUGUGUAUGAUUUUCUUUUCUCUUCUACAGAAUGAUCACGCAACUGACACUUUAAGUCGGGACGUGGUAUUUGGGGUGACCCAAGUCUGUGUUCCUGGUUCAGGGGGAUCACUGUCCCCUCUCUGGACCUCCUUGGGUUCCUGCAUGUAAGUCGUGCACACACACACACACUCAGGCACAAACACAUGUACACAAAAUAAGUAAGUACUCUCUUUUCCGUGUUGUGUCCGUGGGGGAGGGGCAGGCUGUGCGCCACGACUCCAGUGUGGAGGCCAGCGGACACUUUGUGACAGCCAGAUCUCUUUCCGCCUUGCCUAGUACGUGGAUCAAGCUCGUGGAUUGUGGAGCCUGAUGGAUGGCAACUGCCCUUGCCCUUCCUGGCCUAUAAACCAUCUCUCUGGCCCUUUGAAAGAUCCCUCUCCUCUCCCUGUCCCUCUCCCCGUCUCUACCCCAUCUCUCCCUCUGCCUCUCUUCAUCCCUCUUCAUCGCCCUCCCCACCACCACCCCAACACAGGGUCUACCCUGUCUACAAAAAGCACUUUGAAUAAGCUUUCUGCCACCACACCCGGCUACCUUAAAACCUCUUUAACCCACUCACAGACACAACACUGCGUUGUAAGGUUUACAGAUGAUCCUAAUGUUUUGCCAUUACAUCAGAAAUUUAAGUGCUCUCCUUGGAACAAGAAUUUAUCUGGAGCUUCAGGCGCAAAGAAGGUUAAAGUGACUGAGGUAAAAUACAAAUGAUGAAUGUGCAUGCAUGCGUAUCACAAAGGUAAAUAGAUGACUCAAUUAUAAAGACAAAAAAAAAAAAGAUAAAAACAAAAACUCUGCUCUCAUUGUCUCAAGGCUCAAAAGGGAAAGAUCCAACAAAUUGGUUAGUGCAGUUUUGUUGGUCAGAAGAAAGUGUCUGCAGGAUUCUUAACAUGUUUGCCCGUAUUUAUAAUUGUUAGAUGCCUAAGAUACUAAAUACACAUUUCCAGUGUUUUGGAUACAGCUACCUGGAGUUUUGUUGGGAAUAUAGCUGUUUUAUAAAGAAAACAGUGUUUUCUCCAUGAUUCUCUCAGUACGUGUUUUCUUUAUUGCUUUGAUGUCCAAGUUCAGGUCUUGAACAGUUUUAUUCAUUUCCUUCACCAGUUUGAUACCCCACCCCCACCCCGGUUUCCUUUGAAUGAUUCAUUCAUUUCUCCUUAAGGACUUAUAUCAUCUUCAUAAAGUUGGUGUUCGGGUCUUUUUCUUGUGUUUCAAGUGUGUCAGGGUGUUCAGGGCUUGCUGUAGAUGGAUAGCUGGAUAGCUGGAUAGCUGGAUAGCUGGAUAGGGAAGUGAUCAGCAUAGGCACUGCCCCCCACCCCCAGACCACCUUCUCAGCACAAAGGAGAUGCAUUUGCCCCAGAGGGACAGGAGCAGGGAAUCAGAGACAAAGAUGAGAUGGAAGACUAAGGAAAAAGAAAAGGGUACAAGGUAGAGGGGGAAAUGAUAUUUGUGCCAGACAGACAAAGGACUGCCUCUGGAUAGAGGGGAGACAGAGGGACCUGGCCCAGAGGCAGAUGGCAGUUUAUCUGUAAGACCCACCACCACCGGCCCCCUCACCCACCCACUACUCUCCCCCACCUCACCCCACCCCAAGCUCAGGCUCCAGAAUCUUUUCCCACUACUGGGGCCACCCCAAUCACCAUGAGGAGGCAGAAACUUGAUGCAAACAGUAAGAGGCUUUAAUGAAAGGUGGACUUUAUACAAAUGCACUCUCCCAGCAUGCAAGCUAGAGAGCAGCCCCGUCCCCCAGGCACAGGCGUUUUUAAAGGCAAAAACCAUAAGCUUACGGAGGUGCCUGGACUCUCUGUCCAUUGAACCCAGGAGUCAUGGGUUCCUAGGAGGCCCUUUGUCUUGAGGGGAUGCCUGGGAAUCAGAUAGCCUCCUGACCCCACCAGUUGUAAAACCUGCAGACCUCAGGAUGUGCGAGCAAAUUAAUUGUUAAUUAUUGACACAUUGGCUGGUGGGGAAAUCUGUUUCCUUCAUGAGCCCCUCGGGGAGGGUGGCCAUCUGGGAAUUCUUGGUACCCAGUUAUCUUAUGGCCUUGUAAGGGAGUAAUUGCUGGUGGCUGGUAAAUUCCAGGCACUAAGUCAUAGUAGUAGUCAUGGUCAGUUUCUGGGCUAUAUUUCUUUGCUAAUUUUUAAGUCUUUCAAUCAAGGUAAAAGAGGGAAACCCAGUGUCAGGAUGAGCUUUUGAUUGCUGGACUUGUAGUCAGCCUCAGGAGGAAGAGGAAGUGGUCCACUCAGGGAGUAGACCUUGGUGGCUAGCUCUAGGAAUGUAAAAGUUUUUGGUUUUGUUUUUGCUUUUGUUUUUGUUUUUAGCAAGGCAGAGGGAGGAGGGGGGGACCGGAGAAGGGCAAGGCCUUCCAGUGUCAUCAUUGCCAUGCUGGGGCAGGCUGGUGUCCCUUCUGAC